Molecule: ribosomal RNA, 500 nt
Filed under: uncultured bacterium
Lineage: Bacteria
Description: partial 16S ribosomal RNA
Rfam family: Bacterial small subunit ribosomal RNA
Source: RNAcentral
AUUGAACGCUGGCGGCAUGCCUUACACAUGCAAGUCGAACGGCAGCACGGGAGCAAUCCUGGUGGCGAGUGGCGAACGGGUGAGUAAUAUAUCGGAACGUGCCCAGUCGUGGGGGAUAACGCAGCGAAAGCUGUGCUAAUACCGCAUACGAUCUACGGAUGAAAGCGGGGGCUCGCAAGACCUCGCGCGAUUGGAGCGGCCGAUAUCAGAUUAGCUAGUUGGGGGGGUAAAGGCCCACCAAGGCGACGAUCUGUAGCUGGUCUGAGAGGACGACCAGCCACACUGGAACUGAGACACGGUCCAGACUCCUACGGGAGGCAGCAGUGGGGAAUUUUGGACAAUGGGCGCAAGCCUGAUCCAGCAAUGCCGCGUGCAGGAUGAAGGCCUUCGGGUUGUAAACUGCUUUUGUACGGAACGAAACGGCCCUUUCUAAUACAGGGGGCUAAUGACGGUACCGUAAGAAUAAGCACCGGCUAACUACGUGCCAGCCGCCGCGGUAA